UUUCAUUUUUCAUUGAAAAUUCAGACAUAAAACGUGUUGUAUAUGUGUGUUUGGUUAACUACUUGCGAGCUUGCGCCCCAAGUUUGUUCGAGUACCAGAAAUGAUCCUUCCGCAGGUUCACCUACGGAAA
RNAcentral lists this unclassified non-coding RNA (130 nucleotides) under uncultured fungus. RNAcentral's name for it is "sequence contains ITS1". The record is from RNAcentral. Lineage: Eukaryota; Fungi.